UAUUAUCAACCCCCGCCAGCUUUUGUAGUUGUGUGUGGCGGAUUGGAUAUGGAGGUUUGCAGGUACUUUUGAAGUAUCAGCUCCUCUGAAAUGCAUUAGCAGAACCGUUUGCAAUCUGUUAACUGGUGUGAUAAUUGUCUACGCUAGUGGAUUGCUCUCUGCAUGUUCUGCUUCUAAUAGUAUCUAUAUGAAC
Molecule: unclassified non-coding RNA, 193 nt
Filed under: uncultured Leucoagaricus
Lineage: Eukaryota; Fungi; Basidiomycota; Agaricomycetes; Agaricales; Agaricaceae
Description: sequence contains ITS2
Source: RNAcentral